GAGAGGCCCAAACGUUAUUCGGAAUUACUGGGCUUAAAGAGUUCGUAGGCGGUAUGGAAAGUAGGGUGUGAAAGCCCUCGGCUCAACCGAGGAAUUGCGCUCUAAACUGCCGUACUUGAGGAAGCUAGAGGUGAGCAGAACUGAUGGUGGAGCGGUGAAAUGCGUUGAUAUCAUCAGGAAUACCGGAGGCGAAGGCGGCUCACUGGGGCUUUUCCGACGCUGAGGAACGAAAGCCAGGGUAGCGAACGGGAUUAGAUACCCCGGUAGUCCUGGCCGUAAACGAUGAGCACUAGGCCGGAGGGCUGCACAGCUUUUCGGCCGUAGCUAAAGUGUUAAGUGCUCCGCCUGGGGAGUAUGGUCGCAAGGCUG
Molecule: ribosomal RNA, 369 nt
Filed under: uncultured bacterium
Lineage: Bacteria
Description: bacterial SSU rRNA
Rfam family: Bacterial small subunit ribosomal RNA
Source: RNAcentral